This 498-nucleotide ribosomal RNA is filed under the name uncultured bacterium. RNAcentral describes it as "partial 16S ribosomal RNA". It matches the Rfam family "Bacterial small subunit ribosomal RNA", at positions 28 to 507 of the family's 1533-position model. The record is from RNAcentral.
GACGAACGCUGGCGGCGUGCCUAAUACAUGCAAGUCGAGCGGACGAAUCGAAAGCUUGCUUUUGAUUCGUUAGCGGCGGACGGGUGAGUAACACGUGGGCAACCUGCCCUGUAGACGGGGAUAACACCGAGAAAUCGGUGCUAAUACCGGAUAACACGAAAUGUCGCAUGACGUUUCGUUGAAAGACGGCGCAAGCUGUCGCUACAGGAUGGGCCCGCGGCGCAUCAGCUAGUUGGUGAGGUAACGGCUCACCAAGGCGACGAUGCGUAGCCGACCUGAGAGGGUGAUCGGCCACACUGGGACUGAGACACGGCCCAGACUCCUACGGGAGGCAGCAGUAGGGAAUCUUCCGCAAUGGACGAAAGUCUGACGGAGCAACGCCGCGUGAGCGAAGAAGGCCUUCGGGUCGUAAAGCUCUGUUGUUAGGGAAGAACAAGUAACGCAGUAACUGGCGUUACCGUGACGGUACCUAACGAGAAAGCCACGGCUAACUACGUG